GGAGUCAGCUGGGCGGCCGCGGCAGAUGUCGAGGAACGUCCGGGCACCACAGGGCAGAACGGUGGGUAACGCCCACCCGGGGUGACCCGCGGGAAAGUGCAACAGAAAGUAGACCGCCGCACCCGGUGCGGUAAGGGUGAAAGGGUGGUGUAAGAGACCACCGGCGUCUGCGGUGACGUAGGCGGCCAGGUAAACCCCGUUCGGUGCAAGACCAUGCAGCAGGUAUGCGGCCCGUAUAAACCUGCGGGUAGGUUGCUAGAGCUACACGGUAACGUGCAGCCAAGAUAGAUGGUCGCCGCCGCGAAUGCGGAACAGAACCCGGCGUAUAGGCUGACUCACCCU
RNAcentral lists this RNase P RNA (342 nucleotides) under Bowdeniella nasicola. Its description in RNAcentral is "RNase P RNA component class A". It matches the Rfam family "Bacterial RNase P class A". Rfam says of the family: Ribonuclease P (RNase P) is a ubiquitous endoribonuclease, found in archaea, bacteria and eukarya as well as chloroplasts and mitochondria. Its best characterised activity is the generation of mature 5'-ends of tRNAs by cleaving the 5'-leader elements of precursor-tRNAs. Lineage: Bacteria; Bacillati; Actinomycetota; Actinomycetes; Actinomycetales; Actinomycetaceae. The record is from RNAcentral.